Molecule: non-coding RNA, 101 nt
Organism: Amanita rubescens
Lineage: Eukaryota; Fungi; Basidiomycota; Agaricomycetes; Agaricales; Amanitaceae
Source: the annotation of a GenBank genome assembly
GGCCCAAUGGUCUAGUCGUAUGAUUCACGCUUCGGGUUUAUCCCGGCUUCUUGUGGAGCCUUGAAUGUGUGAGGUCCCGGGUUCAAUUCCCGGUUGGGCCC